AGACCCCAUGAACCUUUACUGUAGCUUUGCAUUGGACUUUGAACCGAUCUGUGUAGGAUAGGUGGGAGGCUAUGAAACCGGAACGCUAGUUUCGGUGGAGCCGUCCUUGAAAUACCACCCUGGUUUGUUUGAGGUUCUAACCUUGGCCCGUGAUCCGGGUCGGGGACAGUGCAUGGUAGGCAGUUUGACUGGGGCGGUCUCCUCCCAAAGCGUAACGGAGGAGUACGAAGGUACGCUAGGUA
This 242-nucleotide ribosomal RNA is filed under the name Escherichia coli. RNAcentral describes it as "partial 23S ribosomal RNA". It matches the Rfam family "Bacterial large subunit ribosomal RNA", at positions 2086 to 2327 of the family's 2925-position model. Lineage: Bacteria; Pseudomonadati; Pseudomonadota; Gammaproteobacteria; Enterobacterales; Enterobacteriaceae. The record is from RNAcentral.